This 6066-nucleotide long non-coding RNA is filed under the name Sus scrofa (pig). RNAcentral's name for it is "lncRNA (ENSSSCG00000057302.1)". The record is from RNAcentral. Lineage: Eukaryota; Metazoa; Chordata; Mammalia; Artiodactyla; Suidae.
UUUUUUUUUUUUUUUUUUUUUUAGGGUUCUCAAAUGUGCCACAUUCUCUGCUGCUUCAGAGUUCUACAGUAUCCCUCCUCUUUAUGGCCAAACAGAUAUUUUGACUUCUCUCCACUUUUUUCUCCUUCCUCCCCAUCUCCUCCCUCAUUAAUCCCUAUUUAUCAUAGAUAUCUGCUUAAAAUAAUUUAUCAGAAAAGCUUUGAUCAUAUCUCAUUGCAUUUACACAAGAUUAAGCCUCCAUAUAAUUCAUCACAUUGUAACUUUGUGCUCAGUGUCUAGUACCCAUGGAUUUGGUGGGGGGAUAUAUUUGUUUCCUUCACCCCUAUCUCCCCAGUAACUCCUUAGUGCCUAACAUACAGUGGUUCCCAUUAAAUAUUUGUUGAAUCAGUGAAUAACUAUGGCAUGUUUUUUUCUCAACUGUGUACCUCUAUUUUGUUUGGUUCCUCUGCUUUGAAUUACUUUCUCUUGCUUUUUGGUUAGUUUACUUGAUCUUUAAGUACCAGUUCAGGGUUCUCUCCUCCUAGAUGUCUUUCAUAACUUCCUUUCUCCACCACCCUCUCUCCUAUCUUGGUUUAUUCUUCUUUUCUAUGAUCCCAGAGAACACUGUACAAACAGCUCUCUCAAGCCCUGGCUCCAUGUGAAGUCAACACUUGCAGAACUCUGGCACUUCAUGAACAGGGUUCGCAUUUAUUUUUUCUCCAUUAAAAAAUGCAUCAUACCUGAACAUAAUACAGAUACUCCAAAAUACUGUUGAAAGUUUUUUAAAAGAGAGAGAUUUAGAUUGGAAUAGAGAUUCCUCCACUCAAUAUUAAAGCUUGUGAUAAUCAUCCUUAGAAUAGAACUAAGGAUGUGAUGAAUAAUGCACAUUUAUAGUGAGGCUGUUGUGAUCUUUCUGAUAAACACUCUGUGGAAAUAGCUGACUUUUUCUUCUUUCCCAAUAUUAUUUGCCCAUUUGAGCUACCUUGGGAUAUUUAUCACUAUAGGUUUUCUAAUAACUAAUGUAUCCCUGAAGAGCUAUAUAUGUGAAAAUAAUCUUUGAGAAUAAGUAGUUGCCAGUCCUGGUCACCUAUUAAAUGGUCUACUAAAUGUAACAAUCUCACCCUGUGCCUAACACUUUUCCAUCUGCUUUGAGGAUGCCAGUACAUGCCAGGUUCAUUACCCAGGAUAGGAGACUGUUUUCUGACUUGGUAAGCUUAUCCUACCUGCAACCAACUUUGUAGAUUUCAUGUUGAUGAGAAGACUCCAAGGUACAAUUUAGUGGUAGUCACUUUAAGAAAGGCAAAAAAUGAGGUGAAGACAUGAACUCUCAGCAGUAAAGCAAUUACUGACAAUUUCUGAUCAAGGUACAAUCACUGUAAAAGAUUUAUUUUUUGCUGUCUCCAGGAACAUAUACUUCUAAGGUGAUGUACGCCAAAUGGAAUGCUACAAUGAGAGGGUCAGGGAAAGAUCUCACUUAGCAAGAAUGUGUGAUUAAUUUAUCUCCUAAAUUGAUGAGAUUGUGCAGUCAAGGCAGUUCUCAAAGAGUAACAGGGUGAUUACAAGUGAAUGAGUAAACAAUGGAAUAACUGUGGGUGGAAUUUAAUCUCUUCAUAUGUUCUUCUAAAAAUUCCGUUUUUUCAAGGAACUCCAUGGACACAAAAAAAGGUGAAUACUAUUGUCAUAAGGACUACCACAAGGAAGGGUGAGCAGAGUGGGAUGAUCUGGUCUGGUCUGAAACACUGACAUUUCCAUUCACUGGAUUAUAUAUGCCUUAAAUUUCUAAUGUGUAGGUAGUCUUUCGGAUGCUAUGGGAUAUGAGGUCAGAAAUUUGAUUUCCUUAUUUAUGAAAUUAUAAAAUAUUUAAUAGGAUUAAAAUGUCAAUGCAUAUUUGAAGACUUUAAAAUAAUAGCUCCUGUGCAUUGAACACAUAUUGUAUAUCUAGUACUUUAUAUAAUUUUAUUUAUAUAAAGAUAUAUAUAAUGGUAUUAAGAUAUGAUUAUUGGCUAUUUUAAAGAGUCAGAACAAGAAGGCUCAGAAAGUCCAAAUAACUUGUUCAAAGUCAUAUAUAGUCAGUCCUAAGGUUGGAAUUUGAAUGUGAGUGAACUACAAAGUUUGUUUUUCUAAGAAAAUUCCAGACUCUGCUAUAAAUAGGGGCCUACGAGUCUAUUAUAAGUACACAUUGGAACUACAUGGGACUCAACUUGCAUUAAAACAUGCCAGCCAACACAGUGGAAACAGGUAUACCAGAAGGCUGAUCCUGUAUUAUAAGCCAUAUGAGCUGAGCUUGGUGGCUUUGAUGCAGGAGAGAGUGCAGCAAUUCAGUAUAUUAAUCAAAAUAGUAUCCUUCCGAAAGUAGGGAUGAAUGAAUGUUCUUUAUGGUCUGCAUUAUACUUUGAAGGCAAAGCUGGGUAUGUGGCCCUAACAGGAUUCACGAGAAGCAUUAUACUUGUGAUUAACCACUAGGUGGCACUGGAUCUAUAGAGCCUGGGAAAAGCUCCAUUGGAUACAUUGAUAGCCAUCUUUUCUGGGUAUAAGUGACCAUCACUUUUCUUGUACAUACCCCAUAAUAUAAAGUUAUCUCACAUUUGAUUCUGAAUCAUUCUUAAUAUCAGAUAAUAUUUACAUCUGCUCCAAGGCUCUAUCACCCCUUCCUCCUAUUGGUUGCUUGAGUGACAUUUUUGAACUGGAUAUGCCAGAGCUUGGGUAGAUUGUGAAAGAAAAUGUAGGCAUACUGAUGUGGCCCAUAUGUACUCUUCAGAUAAUGCAGUAUCUCUAUAUCUAGUCACUGAGUCUCUCUGAGGAAUAAAGUACACUUGUAGUAACCAAUUCAUUGGUAGGACCUUAUAAAUAAGAAAUUGACUAUCAUACAGAAUAUGACUAAACCUCAGAAUAAAACCCUGUUUUUUUAUUGAUCACAUAAAUUCUUUUAUUAAUAUUGCAUCCUAGAUGAAACAAUGUUUCCAAGCCAGUUUAGUUUUAGAGAAACAGAGGGAGCAUGUCUAUGAAGCAAAAUUUCUUUUCCUUCCUACGUAUAUUACAUAAAAAGCUUGAAAAAAAGGGAAUGUUUAUCAACAUGGAAACACCUCAAAUUGGAUAUCAGAGAAAAGUUUUUACUUUUUUUUUCCUUUUCAGGGCCACACCUGUGGCAUAUAGAAGUUCCCAGCUAGGGCUAGGGGUCGAAUCAGAGCUAUAGCUGCCAGCCUACACCAGAGUCACAGACAACAACAUCAAAUCCGACUAAAGUCUGGGACCUACAUAGCAGCUCAUGACAAUGCCAAAUCCUUAACCCACUGAGCCAGGGAUCAAACCCGCAACCUAAUGGAUACAAGUUGGGCUCAUAACCCUCUAAAUCAUAAUGGAAACUCCCGAGCUUUACUUUUCAUGGCAAGUACUGUUCGUGUACUGAAACUUAAAACUCUUAAGAUAUAAAUAAAGUGACAGAAAUUAAAUUUACAAGGCAGAAAUUAAAGACAGAUUAUGGGUGAAUAUAACCCUUGCUAUUAUGAAAGACCAGACUGUAUUCAGUACUCUUGCAAAACAAAAUAGGAAUAUAGUUGGAAAUAUAUUUAAAUAAUGAAACAUUUAAUAAAGACUUACCCUUUUCCCUAAUAAACAUUGUAGUGAUGUAGGUGGUAAGACUGGUGAAUUCAUCAUCUCAUUGUAAAGAUUAGGUACCAUAGAAACCAAAAGUUAAUCAUGAAUCUAAAUCAUGUUAAUCAAGAAUCAUGAAUCUUUCAAGACUUGUUCAUGGCAAAUACAUAGAAUUCUACAGUACAUCAAAUUUCUGGCCCACUGCACCACAGCAGGAACUCCAAGGCUUUAACUUUAAUACAUUAAAAUAUCUAAAUUCAAUGUUUCUAUCUUUCCUUCAUUAUUAUCACAUCCUUAGUAAGUCCUUAUUCAUUUCAUAAUAACUUAAAUGAUGAUGAACUGUACCAAUGGUUUCUCAGACAAUUCUUUCUAGUUAGAAGAUCUUGUUGAAAAGUAUGGCAAUCAUUUUACCAACAUACGAAUACAUAGUACUAACUGAGAACUCACUCUGUGCCUUAUCUCAUUUAAUUCUCUCAACAAUGCUAUGAAGUAGGGGAUAUUAUUAGCUGCAGGUUACAGGUAAUAAAAAUGAGCACUGCAAAAUUAAGAAUUUGACUCAGAACCAAAUAUGAGGCUGGUCUGAAAGCUUGCAUUUUUUUUUUUCAGAUUUAACUAUAGAAUGUUGUUACUGGCAAUUUUUAUCCCAAUUUAUUUAAUUGUGUGCCAUCUUUUAUCUUUGGGAGAUUUUAAAAUCUACUCUUUUUUUUAAAUUCUAAAACCUCAAGAUGAUGUGGUUUGAAAGAUGUCUUUCAUUCAUUGGUCUGGGCAAACAACCCUUUAAAUUUGAAAAUGUCCCUCCUUCAAUUAUGGAAUCGCUUAUUUGAUUAUAUCAUUUAAAAUAGCUUUAUCUCCAGUUCUUCCCAUUCUCUCUUUAUAGAACUCCUAAUAUGAGGCUGCUGGAAUUUAAACAAUUUAAAAAUUGAAAAUUAAAAAAAAAUUUAAUUUUUAAAAAUCUUUUCCUUCCUAUCAUCCUUUUCCUUCUAUUUUUGUUCUUAUGAGGAUAAUUGUUUUGAAAAUCUUCUGAUACCUUCUUCUGUUGAUUUUUUAAAAUCUUUGGCUAUCAUAUUUUUAUCCAUGAGGGCUUUUUAAAUUUAUCACAUCCUAUUUUCAUUUCACAGAUGUGCUACUCAUUCUUAUCAAAGAAAGCAUAUUACUCAAAGUUUUUAUAAAAUUUGCUUUUGGCUACCUUGAGUAAUGUUCUUGCUCCAAGCCAUUUUUUUCCUGUUAACUUAGGCUUUGGUCUUGAUUUUAGAGGCUUUUUGAAAUAUCCUGAGAACUUGCCUUUAAAUUCCCACUUGAGUGAGGCACUAACACAGGAGAUGCAGGUGCAUGACAUAACUCUUCAGUGAGUGGACUGACAGCACUGUAAAGUGAUCUAGCAGAGAGACCUCCUUCCUGAGGUGAUCCCAGAUAUCAGCCAUCUCAACAGUGAGACAUGUCUUUUGCUUGAGCAGCCUUUCCAGAAAAUAAUACUUUGUUUUCUUGCUUUGGUGACUGAAAGGGCAUAUCUUUGAUGGCCUUUGUUCUUAGAUCAGGGUUGAGGAAUGACCUUGAAAGUCUCAUGAUUUCUCUUAAUCCCUACACUUUCAAGAACCCUUACCAAUAUAUCCCAAGCACCUGGAGUUUAAUAUUUGCAGAUAAUAGACAUCCUUAUCUGCUGGGGUUGGGCAAGGAGAGUCACCUGGUGAAUUGCUUGAUAAGGAAGAGAUCCAAGGUUUCAUCUUCAUUGUAGACAAUCACACCCCACUUAGAUCCAGUCUUGGAUCUUAGACUGGUCUUAGAUCCCACUUAAAUCCAAGACUCAGCCCAUCUCACGUGCAUCUCAUGUAUCCAAAGUUUAGGCUGUUCUGAGACCCUCUGGGGUAAAUCAAGUUCUUGUCAUUAUUCCUCUCUUCAGGCACUUAAGAUUUUAGCUUUCUCUGUUGUACAAGUUGGCGAAUAAAAAGUUAUUAAAAUAGGAACUACUACAUGUGUUGUUUCAUUUUUUCUGAAUAGGUGCAUAAAAAGGUCAAAGUUGUGAUUUAAAAAAAAUUAUGUUCUGAACCAUAGAACAUAAUUGCCCCCAAACUUCAUAGAGAUUUCUACUUAUUGUUGUAUGUGUUAGUUGCUAUGGCAACCCUACCCACUCUAUCUUCCAUCCUUUGACCAGAUAAACAUUUUUAAAAAGGAAAAUUUAAGUUUUAUACUUUCGAAGAAUUAACAUUUAAGUACUUGUAUGGUUGAAUAAGAAGAGAAAAUCUGCAAAAUGAAAACUGAUAUAAGAAAGACAUCAUGGAGUUCCCAUCGUGGCUCAGUGGUAAUGAACCCAACUAGUAUCCAUGAGGACAUGGGUGCAAUCCAUGGCAUUGCUGAGUGGGUUAAGGAUCUGGCAUUGCCAUGAGCUGUGGUAUAGGUUGCAGGUGUAGCUCGGGUGUGGCAUUGCUGUGGCUAAGGUGUAGGCUGGCAGCUCCAAUUCAACCCCUAGCCUGAGUACUUCCAUAUGCCACAGGGGCAGCC